Molecule: unclassified non-coding RNA, 336 nt
Filed under: soil metagenome
Description: partial contains 5.8S ribosomal RNA, internal transcribed spacer 2, and large subunit ribosomal RNA
Rfam family: 5.8S ribosomal RNA (bases 1-120)
Source: RNAcentral
GAUGAAGAACGCAGCGAAAUGCGAUAAGUAGUGUGAAUUGCAGAAUUCAGUGAAUCAUCGAAUCUUUGAACGCACAUUGCGCCCCUUGGUAUUCCAUGGGGCAUGCCUGUUCGAGCGUCAUUUGUACCUUCAAGCUCUGCUUGGUGUUGGGUGUUUGUCUCGCCUCUGCGCGUAGACUCGCCUCAAAACAAUUGGCAGCCGGCGUAUUGAUUUCGGAGCGCAGUACAUCUCGCGCCUUGCACUCAUAACGACGACGUCCAAAAGUACAUUUUACACUCUUGACCUCGGAUCAGGUAGGGAUACCCGCUGAACUUAAGCAUAUCAAUAAGCGGAGGA